Phoenix dactylifera (date palm) is the source of this 1257-nucleotide non-coding RNA. The record is from RefSeq and is a predicted model, not a curated record. Lineage: Eukaryota; Viridiplantae; Streptophyta; Magnoliopsida; Arecales; Arecaceae.
GUGAAAACUUAUGCAAGCUUUUCCGCAAUACAGCUAAGGCUCUAAGCAGAAGCGCCGUGACAAGGCCACCAGAGCAGCGCCGAGUUCCAUCAAUGAAAUCCAACGCAGUAGGCUGUCACAUGGCAUUUUGCAGCACUGCACAGCUGGUGGAAGUGACGUUAGGGUUCCCAGGUGUACAAAUCUGUAUGCAAGAGAAUUUAUGUGUCACCACCUCAGCGUGUGGGUCUGUAACAAGAGAAGCUUAUGUGUCACCACCUCGACCAGUAGCACUACAUCCACCAGUACCUGCACCUAUUUAUGCUCGUGAUCAACGAGUGGGAUGAUUAUAUUACAGGAGAGGCUCAGUUUUGGAGAUGCGUGAUUAUAGGACCAUGGAUGUGGAAAUGAGGCUGCGAGCUCCUAUUGAUACCAUGAUCCUACGGCUUGUACAGAGACUGCUCCGUACCAAGAACUCCGUACACUGUAGGUCGGGAGGCUCAUACUCUGCUGGGUUGCGGCUUCAUAUGCGCCUUCCCUUUAUCGCUAUUAAGAUCGGAACCAAUUGUAGUAAGAGUCUAACUGAUCAUUGAGCAGGAUUCUGCUUAUGGUGGAGUAAGGUGCUUGAUGAUGCCAAAAACUUCUCUUUUGACUAUAAUAUCUGGAUGUUUUUUUCUUUAAUGACAUUGAUAUGCCUUGUCAGAGGAAAACGUGGUCCAUAAUUUUGGCAUUGCUCCUCUAGUUGUGGCCCUCGAUUGCUAUUAUCAUCGAUUUGUUGCAGCAGCGUUCCGGUCUGGUAGCAUUUCUUUCAACGUCGACUUUAUACCAGCAAUGAUGUCGACUUGGUGUUGGGCUGCUAUGAAUGGGUUAUCUGGACAGGUGCACCAUCGUCAAUAUACUAGUUUGGUUAUCCUUUAUCUACUUGUUUGUAUUGGUUAUCAAAGGAAAACAUUAUGGUGGAUAUCGAGAUUAGCAGUUCUUGAGUUUCAUCAUCAUGCAGAGAGGACUCUGCAGAUGAAGCAAAAACAUCCAUUGGUUGCUUGUAAAAUUCUAAUCCCCAUCAGAAUGGUAUUUUUAUGUUUUUUGACUGACUUUGUUUGACUCUCACUUCCAUGACUAAUGGCCAAUGAUGGACAGAUUGAGUGCUUUUCUGAUGUAUCUGAUCGAUGAUGUGUGAGGCUUUGACUCUAGUGUUCAGAUACCUUUGGAAGAGAUGAUGAAAUUUUUGUACUCUCUUGUAAGCUUAUUAAUUCUCUUUCAUAAAGUCGUGUAAUGCUCAGA